AACAGGAUGUGCGUUGGGAUAGUACCAUUUUCACUGCUGCCUUACCGCUAACGUCUCUGCUCAACUCAGAUUCCCCUGCCAUAUCUGCUUUCAUCUCUGCACAACUCAGAUUCCUGUCUCUCGUCUUCUACUUCGACGCAGCCUCCAACAUCCCCAGCGACAAGAGGACGCUAUUUUAAAUUGGGGAAGUUCAUUUCCUUGGGCAAGUUCAUUGACCUGGUGGUGAACACGGAGAAGACGAUUUUCUCUGCUGCUGAAAUUUUGCAAUGGCUUUUCUGUUUAACAAAUUUCAAGAGGCAGUGAAAGUUCUUGCAAAAAGUCCUACAUUUGCCAGAGAUCCAAGGCUUUGAAGCAGACAUAAAUCGCCUUUUCCUAUAUACCUGCAAUUCCAGAUUCAAGGAAUUUGGUAUCAUCAACCAGUGAGUAUGAGAUAUAGAGAGAGAAAGCAUACCAACUUCAGACUCGAGAGCAGUGGAUAUGGGAACUGAGCAGUGAAUGAAAGAAACAAGAAGGAGUGAACUCAUGUUUAAGCUGCGCCUGGAAUGGAGUUUGAAGUGGCAAUCAAUAUCAAUGAUGGUGGUUUGGUGUUGAUAUUUGAUAGUGCUGUUCUUGGUCUUGUUGAUGGGUCAAGACAUUCCUGUUUUAAAUGGAGAGGAGGCAGGCUUUCCACCUGGGAACAACUCUGGGGAAGGCUUUAGUCCACUCUCCUUGUGAAGCGCGUGCAUUUUCUUAUUUGCAACGGUAAUAAAUGUAUUUAAUUAUAAUUUAAUAAAAAGCUUAACCCACAGGUUUGAUUUA
Hevea brasiliensis (rubber tree) is the source of this 798-nucleotide long non-coding RNA. RefSeq lists it as uncharacterized. The transcript has 3 exons. The record is from RefSeq and is a predicted model, not a curated record. Lineage: Eukaryota; Viridiplantae; Streptophyta; Magnoliopsida; Malpighiales; Euphorbiaceae.